CAGUAGCCGCGGUAAUACGAAGGGGGCUAGCGUUGUUCGGAUUUACUGGGCGUAAAGCACACGUAGGCGGAUCGAUCAGUCAGGGGUGAAAUCCCAGAGCUCAACUCUGGAACUGCCUUUGAUACUGUCGAUCUGGAGUAUGGAAGAGGUGAGUGGAAUUCCGAGUGUAGAGGUGAAAUUCGUAGAUAUUCGGAGGAACACCAGUGGCGAAGGCGGCUCACUGGUCCAUUACUGACGCUGAGGUGCGAAAGCAUGGGGAGCAAACAGGAUUAGAUACCCGUGUAGUCCCUGUCUCUUAUAC
Molecule: ribosomal RNA, 301 nt
Filed under: uncultured bacterium
Lineage: Bacteria
Description: partial 16S ribosomal RNA
Rfam family: Bacterial small subunit ribosomal RNA
Source: RNAcentral